UGCUACAUCCAUGGCGCCUCCACCUCUUCCUUCCCUCCUCUUCCUCUCCCAACCCACUAACCUCCAGAACCGGUUCCCCUCUCCUCCCUCGACCCCUCCCCUCCACUAGUGCGCCCUAAUCCCCCCUAAUGGCCAUUAGAACCAUAGGUAACUGCUGCCAUUAACGCCCUUAAAUCCGACGAUGCCCCGCUCUCCUCUGGCUCCACCUAACCCUCUAUAAAAGCCCAAGGAGUCUCCCAGGUUCUCCUUGUCCGAAGCCCUCUUCUUUCGGGAGCUAUAUCCCUCCCCAUCCCGAUCAAUUGCUCGGUCGGAGUUCAGCAACUCCGGCGGCCGCUCCACGCCGUCACGGGACUAGACCGAGCCCGGGACAUUGCCCAACGGACUUCCCUCGUCGACAUCUUCAACGUUCUUCUUCUACUUGAUGUCAGGGAGUUUCUUCCACAACUCCGGCGACCUUAUUCCCCAACUCCGGCGACCAACUCCGAUUACGACGAGUGCGAAGGUGAAUUCUACGAGGAGGUAGAACCUACUGCAAAACCGAAG
This is a non-coding RNA of Triticum urartu, 543 nucleotides long. The record is from RefSeq and is a predicted model, not a curated record. Lineage: Eukaryota; Viridiplantae; Streptophyta; Magnoliopsida; Poales; Poaceae.